RNAcentral lists this ribosomal RNA (448 nucleotides) under uncultured Gammaproteobacteria bacterium. Its description in RNAcentral is "bacterial SSU rRNA". It matches the Rfam family "Bacterial small subunit ribosomal RNA", at positions 80 to 524 of the family's 1533-position model. The record is from RNAcentral. Lineage: Bacteria; Pseudomonadati; Pseudomonadota; Gammaproteobacteria.
CAAUCCUGGCGACGAGCGGCGAACGGGUGAGUAAUGCUUCGGAAUCUGCCCAGUAGUGGGGAAUAACUAACCGAAAGGUUAGCUAAUGCCACAUACGACCUAUGGGUGAAAGCAGGGGAUCGUAAGACCUUGCGCUAUUGGAUGAGCCGAAGUCGGAUUAGCUAGUUGGUGAGGUAACGGCUCACCAAGGCGACAAUCCGUAGCUGGUCUGAGAGGACGACCAGCCACACUGGGACUGAGACACGGCCCAGACUCCUACGGGAGGCAGCAGUGGGGAAUAUUGGACAAUGGGGGCAACCCUGAUCCAGCGACGCCGCGUGUGUGAAGAAGGCCUGCGGGUUGUAAAGCACUUUUAGUGGGGAUGAAAAGCUCAGGGCUAAUACCCUUGGGUCUUGACCUAACCUACAGAAAAAGCACCGGCUAACUCUGUGCCAGCAGCCGCGGUAAU